This 492-nucleotide long non-coding RNA is filed under the name Paramuricea clavata. The record is from RNAcentral. Lineage: Eukaryota; Metazoa; Cnidaria; Anthozoa; Malacalcyonacea; Plexauridae.
AUACUGUGCUAUGUUAACAUCUAGCCUUGUGAAUGGUGUUUUAUACUUGCAUCUCUCAUCAUCAUCUGCUCUGUCCUCAUAAUUAUGAAAAAUGAACUGCUAUGUAUCCCCCUCCCCCUCCUUGCUUGUUAGAGAAGUAAACUGAUGAGAGCACUGGAUGAGGGUCUAUCAUCUAUGUUCUGUUAUAAUUUGCUUUUUAUGCAAAUAGUGAGCAAAAAUUAAAGCAAAACUGUACAAGUUACAUAUAUAGUACUAUAUCAGUACUAUACACGAACUUUUAUCGAUGGAUAAUUUUGCGAGUUUUUAUCCAAUUCAAUCAUAUAUAUGCUCAAAAUCGUCGCAGUAAGUUUCUCUUUACCAUAAAAUUUGACCGAAUAAGUUUCAAAACAAUGCGACGGCAAAAAAUGCAAAAAUCCUGAUUUUCGUAAUAGAAUUUAUGGUCUUUUUGCCCUGUUGUACCGCCAUCUUGGAUUUAUCAUGUAGGCCCCACCU